RNAcentral lists this ribosomal RNA (350 nucleotides) under uncultured bacterium. RNAcentral describes it as "bacterial SSU rRNA". It matches the Rfam family "Bacterial small subunit ribosomal RNA", at positions 8 to 350 of the family's 1533-position model. The record is from RNAcentral.
AGAGUUUGAUCCUGGCUCAGGAUGAACGCUAGCUACAGGCUUAACACAUGCAAGUCGAGGGGAAACGACAUCGAAAGCUUGCUUUUGAUGGGCGUCGACCGGCGCACGGGUGAGUAACGCGUAUCCAACCUGCCCACCACUUGGGGAUAACCUUGCGAAAGUAAGACUAAUACCCAAUGACGUCUCUAGAAGACAUCUGAAGGAGAUUAAAGAUUUAUCGGUGAUGGAUGGGGAUGCGUCUGAGGUUAGCUUGUUGGCGGGGUAACGGCCACCAAGGCGACGAUCAGUAGGGGUUCUGAGAGGAGGUCCCCACAUUGGAACUGAGACACGGUCCAAACUCCACGGAGGCA